CGGCAGGGCGGCAGGGCGCGGUGGUUUUCGCCUGUAAUCCCAGCUCUUUGGGAAGCCGAGGCAGGCGGAUCACGAGGUCAGGAGAUCGAGACUAUCCUGGCUAACACGGUGAAACCCCGUCUCUACUAAAAAUACAAAAAAUUAGCCGCGCGUGGUGGCGGGCGCCUGUAGUCCCAACUACUCGGGAGGCUGAGGCAGUCUUGAACCCCGGAGGCGGAGGUUGCAGUGAGCCGAGAUCGCGCCACUGCACUCCAGCCUGGGCGACAGAGGGAGACUCUGUCUCAAAAAAAAAAAAAAAGAAGAAGAAGAAGAAGAAGAAAGAAGAAAGAAGAAGAAAGAGAGGCAGGGCGCUGCGCACCUCGCCGGGCGUGCGGGGACGUUGUAGUCUCUUAACGGCUCCCGGCUCUCUGGUCGCCUGGCUGCAGGACUACAAUUCCAGCAGGCACCGGGCUCAGUGGGAGGGGCAGGGUGGUGUGGACCUGGCAAAGCAGUGCUGCCCGCUCACCCCCUGCUGCCCUGUCUCCAUGGGGAGUGAGUUUGGAGAGAGAUAUAAGGGAUAAAUCUGGGCUUUUGCCCAAAUCUGGCAGGUCCUACCUCCGGCUGAGCAGCUCUUCCUCUCUUUAUCCUUAUCCGCUGGUUUUUCCAUGGCAUCGCGCCUCCUUCAGCCCAUGGAGCCGCCUGCUUUCCUAAACUACUACAGAAACUGGCCUGAUGGCUGUCUGAGACAUUGUACAUUGUGCCACCGGCCUCUGCUUACUCCAGGCAGAGCGCCAGUUCAGCAGCAUUUGGGAGAAAUUUGCUGCCUGGGCCGCCCGUAAACAACUUGAGCUUUGCAGUGGGUAACAUGGGCUGUGGUUUGGUGAAAAUGUCAACCUCACUGACCCCUUUUUCGUGGAAGUAGAAGUCGAGACAUGAGGGAGAGUAAUUAUUGGCUUACCCGGGAUCUGCUAAAAGCAGAGGAGAAAGCCCCAGUGUUUCCAGGCAUGUGUCUGGGUGGGCCAUUUUUACCAACCCAUUUAAGGGGCUAGGCCUCCAAAAAUCAACCUAAAGGUAAUGAUUGUUUUGAUAUUUUACACAUGUGAUCAUGGCUUCAUCUCACCUUAGACCUGACUGGCCAGUGUCUCAAAGACAUAGAUGGUGACCAGCUCUCUCUGGAACAGAUGGCACUCCAGCUUUGUGGGAGCAACUUUCAAGAAAAGAUUAAGACAUCACUGGGCCAAGCACCCACAUGAUGUCACUCGCCUGCCUGCAUUCUGCCUACAGUGGGUAUUGUGACAUAUCCCUGGCACAGAACCAAGAGUCUCGCUCUGUCACUCAGGCUGGAGUGCAGUGGCAUGAUCUCAGCCCGCUGCAACCUUCGCCUUCCAGGUUCAAGCAGUUCUCCUGCCUCAGCUCUUGGACAAAACUUCAGCACUCCUGCUAGGGUGUGUCUGCCCUACUAAGACACUGUGCGCAGGUGGAGUUGAGGCUCUUAUGUAUGGAUCCUGUCCACUGUUGAGAUUGUGAAUUGCAUGUGUAGACUCAACUCACAGGAGGUGUUGACUCACAAACCUCCAGCUGGGACAUGUGCAGGAUUAGAAAUUUUAUUUCUGGAUCUUUCUUCAGAAGGCGUUGUAACAUCUCACUAAGCCCAGCACUCAGGCGAUGUGGCUUUCCUGCUAUGGCACUGCACACAAGAAGAAUGUUGACAUAUUCCUGGCCCAGAAUUCAGGUGGAGAUGGAGCUCUCAUGCACGGAUCCUGUCCGAUGUUAAGACUGUGUCUCGUGUAUUUGGAUGCAACUCACAAGAGGUGUUGACUCUCAGACCUAAAGCUGGGAAAUAUGUAGAAUUGUGAAAUUUAUUCCUGGUCCUUCCCGCAGGUGUGAUUGUGGCGUAUAUGUUCACACAGCACUUAAUUUAUUUUACAAUUUGUUUGAACUCAGCCAACUGUUGGGACUGUGACAUAUACCUGGACCAAGUUCCUAGGUGAUGUAACUCUCCAGCCUGGGCCUUACCACAGGGUACAUUGUGACAUAUCUUUGGACUUAUCACCUAUGUGAUGUGACUCUACUGACUUGCCUUGUCUUGGCCUCCAUUGGGGAUUGUGGCAUAUUUCUGUGCCCAGUACCUAAGUUAUGUGACUCUUCUUUCCUGCUUGUGCAUUUAGAAGGGAUUGUGACAUAUUGCUGGGCCAAGAACCUAGGUGAUGUGACUCUCCUGCCUUGGCCCUGCCUUCAGGAAAAAUUGUGAUGUGACUCUGGGUUUAUUACCUAGAUGAUGUGACUCUUGUGUUCUGCAUGGGCAAGCCCAAAGGGGUCAUUGUGGCAUAUCUCUGGGCACAUCAAAGAAGUGGUGUAAUUUUUCUCUCAUUCCAGGACUCUAGUCUCAGUAGGGAUUGUGACAUAUCACUGGGCCCAUAACCUAUGUCAUGUGAUUCUAGUAUCCUGCUUGGGCCCUGCUUACAGGAAAGAUUGUGACAUUUGGCUGGGCCCAUCACCUAGUUAAUGUGACUCUCCUUUUCUUCCUGUGCCCUGCCCUCAGUGGAGAUUGUGACAAAUUUCUGGGCCAAUCAGCUGUGCAAUAUGACUCUGCUCUUUCCUGGGCCCUGCUAUCGGGGAGCAUUGUGACAUAUUGCCAGGCUCAGCACCUAGGUAAUGUGACUCUUCUUGCUGCCUGGGCCCUACUUACAGAAGGGAUUUUGAUGUAUUGCUGAACCAAGAAUUCAGAUGAUGUGACUCUCCUGCCUGUGCGCUGUCUACAGUGGGCAUUGUGACAUAUCAUUGGUGAUGUGACUCUCCUGCCUUGUUCCUGCCCACAGGUGAAAUUGUGGCAUAUACCUGGGUCCAGAUCACAGGCACAAUGAUGACUCUCUUACCUGGACACAGCCAGUGGGAAAUAUUUUGACUUUUGUAGCCAGGCUUAGGGCCACAGGUAAUGUCCUGGGUCUCUUACUUGUAUAAAAUUUACAGAACAUUACAACACUCAGGACUAUCAUAGGAAGACCUACAGUGAUACAGAGAGUUGAUAACAGGGCCUAGCUAACAGCUGAGAUUGUGACUCUCAUAUGCAGACCCAGCCUACAGGCUCUUCAUUCUUACACAUAAACAGAGCCUAUGAAUGUGGCACUUAAUCUCACACAUAAACACAGUUGCAAGUUGGAUUUGUUACUCUCAUAUGUGGAUCUGGUUUCCAGGUGGUUUGGUGACUCUCAAACCAUGAUUCAGCAGACCUGUGAGGCUGUGAGUUCCCUAUCAGAACACAAUCUGCAGGUUGUAUUGUGCCAUAUACCUGGGACCAAAUUACAAGCACAAUGAUGAAUCUUUUACCUGGAGUCAAGACAUGGGCAGGAUGAUGGAACUUAUCACUGGACCUUUCCACAGUGUUAUUGUGACAUAUGCCUUUGCCCAACAUGUGGUGAUUUGACUCCCCAGACUGGGUCCAGUUCACAAAUAAAAUUGUGCCGUAUACUUGGCCAAGAACCUAAUAGGUGUAAUUGAUGUGCCUGGG
This 3487-nucleotide long non-coding RNA is filed under the name Homo sapiens (human). Its description in RNAcentral is "HSALNT0123566". Lineage: Eukaryota; Metazoa; Chordata; Mammalia; Primates; Hominidae. The record is from RNAcentral.